AACGAACGCUGGCGGCGUGCUUAAUACAUGCAAGUCGAACGAGAAAACCCUUUCGGGGGUGAGUAGAGUGGCGCACGGGUGAGUAACGCGUAAGUGACCAACCCUUUGGUGUGGGGUAACCCGGAGAAAUUCGGGCUAAUACCUCAUAAGUCUUAUGAAAGUUAAAAUAAUAUUAGAAAGAAUGCCUCUACUUGUAAGCACUCGCCGAAGGAUGGGCUUGCGUAGCAUUAGCUAGUUGGUGGGGUAAAGGCCUACCAAGGCGACGAUGUUUAACUGGUCUGAGAGGAUGAGCAGGCACACGGGAACGGAGACACGGUCCAGACUCCUACGGGAGGCAGCAGUAGGGAAUAUUGCGCAAUGGGCGAAAGCCUGACGCAGCAACGCCGCGUGAGUGAGGAAGGUCUUCGGAUUGUAAAGCUCUGUUAAGGUAGAGAAACAGAUUACGGUCGAAUAGGCCGUGAUCUUGAUGGUAUAUCUAGAGGAAGCACCGGCUAACUUCGUGCCAGCAGCCGCCGUAA
This 518-nucleotide ribosomal RNA is filed under the name uncultured bacterium. RNAcentral describes it as "partial 16S ribosomal RNA". It matches the Rfam family "Bacterial small subunit ribosomal RNA", at positions 29 to 523 of the family's 1533-position model. The record is from RNAcentral.